UGGGGAAUAUUGGGCAAUGGGCGCAAGCCUGACCCAGCAACGCCGCGUGAAGGAAGAAGGCUUUCGGGUUGUAAACUUCUUUUCUGAGGGACGAAGAAAGUGACGGUACCUCAGGAAUAAGCCACGGCUAACUACGUGCCAGCAGCCGCGGUAAUACGUAGGUGGCAAGCGUUAUCCGGAUUUAUUGGGUGUAAAGGGCGUGUAGGCGGGAGUGCAAGUCAGAUGUGAAAAACUAUGGGCUCAACCCAUAGCCUGCAUUUGAAACUGUACUUCUUGAGUGCUGGAGAGGCAAUCGGAAUUCCGUGUGUAGCGGCGAAAUGCGUAGAUAUACGGAGGAACACCAGUGGUGAAGGCGGAUUGCUGGACAGUAACUGACGCUGAGGCGCGAAAGCGUGGGGAGCAAACAGGAUUAGAUACC
RNAcentral lists this ribosomal RNA (418 nucleotides) under uncultured bacterium. RNAcentral describes it as "bacterial SSU rRNA". It matches the Rfam family "Bacterial small subunit ribosomal RNA", at positions 355 to 786 of the family's 1533-position model. The record is from RNAcentral.